This 73-nucleotide transfer RNA is filed under the name Bos taurus (domestic cattle). Lineage: Eukaryota; Metazoa; Chordata; Mammalia; Artiodactyla; Bovidae. RNAcentral also lists the same sequence under 5 other names. The record is from Rfam by way of RNAcentral.
UCCCUGGUGGUCCAGUGGCUAAGACUCUGUGCUCCCAAUGCAGGGGGCCUGGGGUCAAUCCCUAGUCAGGGAA